Tetranychus urticae (two-spotted spider mite) is the source of this 2424-nucleotide RNA transcript. It is a transcript of the gene named YTH domain containing 1, with no coding region annotated. The record is from RefSeq and is a predicted model, not a curated record. NCBI's taxonomy places the organism in Eukaryota, Metazoa, Arthropoda, Arachnida, Trombidiformes, Tetranychidae.
ACAUAAUCAAAGUUAAACACAUUAUUAGUCAACAAGCUGGAAUAUUGCUAUUCUAAAUUUGAAAAAACCUCUGACAAGUAUCUGUAAGUUGUUAGAGAUGGCGCUUGUUGGCUUUUCUCUUUUCUUUGAUACCUGCUAUUCAAUGAAUCUGCCAAUUGUUUUCUUUUUUCAUGAUAAACAAAAUUUUGAAUAAUUUAACUGAUUAAAUACAACUAAUACUAUCUGUGUAAUAAACCACCUUCUAAUUAGUUAAGUGACAAAAACUGUUGAAAACAAAUUGUGUAGUAACUAGGAAAAUGGAGACAAACGUGGAAACAAAACCAGUGGAAAUUAAUGCUGAAGGUGAGCUAACUGUGCCUUUCUCUUGGAGGAGCUCUAUAAGGCAACAAUUAGAUACUCGCAAGUUGAGAGAAGAAAAGCCUUUUGAAGAUUUGAUCAACUUCUGUUGUCGAGUUUUUGCUUUGUACGCAACAAACCCGGAUUUGGGUAAUUUUACCCAUGCAUCAUCGGAGCCUCUCUCCUCUGCGAGUGAGCGAAGUUCAUUAUAUGCUCGUCUUAAAGAAGCCGAAGCUAACCUGACAGCCGCUCAUGGUGAAAUUUCUCGCUUAGAGAAACAACUAGCCGAGCUUAAGACACAACUACAAUUUGAAAGGGAUGAACAUGCUAUCCUCAGAGUUUUGUAUGAUGAUCUGACUAAAAAGCUUUCAGCUAAAACUCAUGAGGCUGACCACUUAUUGAUUCAGUUGAAAGCAAUGAAAGCUGCAGAUGCAGAAAAAUUGAAUGAGCUUAAUGCAAGAGAAGAGCGAUUAUUGAGAGAGAAAAAACGCCAAGAGCUAGAAGCUGUUGCUGCUGCUACUCGAGUGGUUGAAGUUGAGGAAGGUAUACUUGUUGAUCAGGGAGAAACGGCUAGUGUUCCUUCUCAUGUUAUUGCCAUUCUCCCUGAUAGAAUGCUUUGUUCAACUGAUGCCCAUGAUGGAGAUGUGUAUGCACUAAGAUGGUGCUCUAGUGAAGGAUCUGGAGGGCGUUUUUGUGAUUUGGUUGCUACCGGUGGUAGCGAUCGUAAAGUUAAAGUGUGGCAAGUAUCAUCAUCACAGUUACACAUGAAAGAGACUCUUGUUGGUUGUAAUGGAGGUAUAACCUCCAUCGAUUGUUCUAAUGAUUUAAUUAUAGCUUCUUCAUACGAUUUUACGUGUCGAAUUUGGUCCAUCCUUGAUGGAAAACUUCGCCGGACCUUGACAGGUCAUGCGGACAAAGUGUUAACAGUUAAGUUUUCAGUUGUGGCCAAUAGAUGUAUCUCUGGAAGUCAGGAUAGGACAAUUCGUGUUUGGGACUAUGACAAGUAUGCUUGUACUAAAACUCUUUACCCAGGAUCAACUUGUAACGAUCUUGUUCUUAGUAAAGGCCAAGAAGUUGUGAUUAGUGGACAUUUUGACAAGAAAAUUCGCCUCUGGGAUAUGCGAACUGAGUGUAGUGUUCAUGAAAUUUAUCUUUCUUCUCGAAUAUCAUCACUUGAUCUUUCAUCAAGUGGACAGUAUUUGCUUGCUUGUGUUCGCGAUGAUACCCUUAAAUUAAUGGACCUUCGUAUGAAUCAGGUUGUUAAAACCUUUAGUGCGGACAGUUUUAAAGUAGGAACUGAUUUAACUAAAGCUACUAUCAGUCCGGAUAAUGAUCAUGUAAUCGCCGGCUCUGCAUCAGGAUCCAUCUUCAUUUGGAAUGUAAAUACCUCAAAAGUGGAUAGAGUCCUCAAAAGUCAACAUAAUUCUACUGUUGGUGUAGCUUCUUGGAGUCCUCAGGGACAACUUGUUGCAUCCUGUGAAAAAAAUAAGAAGCUCGUUAUAUGGAAUUAGAAAAUUUUCUAAUUUGUUUCCUUAGUGAAGUUUCAAAUCAAAAGAAAAGACAUUACAGAUGCAAUUUUCUAAUAUCUAUCUACUGCUCAUCUUUUUGUUUAAUAAACAAUCUUCUUGCCAGUCUUGAUAUUUUCAAUCGUAACAAGAGUAACAGCGAGUGUCUACUUUCAUAUCUAUUUAAUUAUUGUGAUCAACUCUAAGUGCUUCAUCUGCUUUUCGUGGAAUCUAUACCUCCAAUUAUAAAGAGUUUGAAAUGAAUUCAACUAUCAAGGAUAAAAGAUUUAAUCUUAAUAACAUUAGUGUUGAUUACUAACAUUGAAAUAAUCUUGCAUUGUCAUUUCUCUGCCAUUUAACCACCAUUGCCGCAUUUGACUUGAUAGCUUCAUUUUUUUCGCCAAUUAUUGCCAAUUUAUUAAGUCCAUCGACGUUAUUGGAUAUUCUUGGUUCACUUUUAUUAACUGGCCAAUGACAUAUCAGGCUUCGAUGAAGAAAAAAAUGUCCUAGAAGAACUAUUAGGAACACCAGAGGAUGAUGACUUAGCAUCGGAAUUGAAUAGCGGUGAACGCAAAACUGGAAG